This 426-nucleotide ribosomal RNA is filed under the name uncultured prokaryote. RNAcentral describes it as "bacterial SSU rRNA". It matches the Rfam family "Bacterial small subunit ribosomal RNA", at positions 355 to 776 of the family's 1533-position model. The record is from RNAcentral. RNAcentral also lists the same sequence under 1 other name.
UCUAGAGGCUUCGGCAAUGGGGGCAACCCUGACCGAGCGACGCCGCGUGUGGGAUUGAAGGCCUUCGGGUCGUAAACCACUGUCAAGAGGGACGAAUGCCCGUAUGGUGAAUACGGGAGGGACGGUACCUCUGGAGGAAGCCCCGGCUAACUCCGUGCCAGCAGCCGCGGUAAUACGGAGGGGGCAAGCGUUGUUCGGAUUUACUGGGCGUAAAGGGUGUGUAGGCGGUUGCGUAAGUCUGGUGUGAAAUCUUCGCGCUCAACGCGAAGCGGUCACUGGAAACUGCGUAACUCGAGUGUGGUAGAGGCAAGCGGAAUUCCUGGUGUAGCGGUGGAAUGUGUAGAUAUCAGGAAGAACACCUGUGGCGAAAGCGGCUUGCUGGGCCAUCACUGACGCUGAGACACGAAAGCGUGGGGAGCAAACGGG